UGACUUAUUACUACCCCUUUGAAUACGAUUAAUCCAGCAUGGGCUACAUGAGCUCUUAGUAGUUUACUGGAUAAAUUAAUAAGUCGAGCAUUCCCGGCCCACCAAGUAAAACUAGUGGUUUCUUGGUCACGACCAGCUACAACUAAAGUUCCAUUAAAGAACGUUUCCACAUGGUAGAACCUCCUCAGGGAAUAGAAGUUUUUCAUGAGGCUGAUCUUGAGCUGCCAUCCAAGCAUGAAUACCUUCAUUUAAUAGAAUAUUUUUGGUGUAGAAAGUCUCAAAUUCAAGAUCUUUCGUUGCGCGAAUUUCCUGAGAAACAAAGUCAUAGGCACUUAGGUUCAGG
RNAcentral lists this long non-coding RNA (343 nucleotides) under Olea europaea subsp. europaea. Lineage: Eukaryota; Viridiplantae; Streptophyta; Magnoliopsida; Lamiales; Oleaceae. The record is from RNAcentral.